RNAcentral lists this ribosomal RNA (497 nucleotides) under uncultured bacterium. Its description in RNAcentral is "partial 16S ribosomal RNA". It matches the Rfam family "Bacterial small subunit ribosomal RNA", at positions 28 to 507 of the family's 1533-position model. The record is from RNAcentral.
GAUGAACGCUGGCGGCGUGCCUAAUACAUGCAAGUCGAGCGAACAGACGAGGAGCUUGCUCCUCUGACGUUAGCGGCGGGCGGGUGAGUAACACGUGGAUAACCUACCUAUAAGACUGGGAUAACUUCGGGAAACCGGAGCUAAUACCGGAUAAUAUAUUGAACCGCAUGGUUCAAUAGUGAAAGACGGUUUUGCUGACACUUAUAGAUGGAUCCGCGCCGCAUUAGCUAGUUGGUAAGGUAACGGCUUACCAAGGCAACGAUGCGUAGCCGACCUGAGAGGGUGAUCGGCCACACUGGAACUGAGACACGGUCCAGACUCCUACGGGAGGCAGCAGUAGGGAAUCUUCCGCAAUGGGCGAAAGCUUGACGGAGCAACGCCGCGUGAGUGAUGAAGGUCUUCGGAUCGUAAAACUCUGUUAUUAGGGAAGAACAAAUGUGUAAGUAACUAUGCACGUCUUGACGGUACCUAAUCAGAAAGCCACGGCUAACUACGUG